Poecilia latipinna (sailfin molly) is the source of this 1808-nucleotide long non-coding RNA. RefSeq lists it as uncharacterized. The transcript has 3 exons. NCBI's taxonomy places the organism in Eukaryota, Metazoa, Chordata, Actinopteri, Cyprinodontiformes, Poeciliidae. The record is from RefSeq and is a predicted model, not a curated record.
UUAAACCCAAUGGACAAUUUCACAUUCCACACACUGUAACAACAGACAUUGAAUGUGGUUCAAAGGGGAAAAAAACAAUAAAACACAACAGACACAAUCCAGCAAAAGACCGAAUAACUUGUGCUUCAAAUCAAUGUCUUUUCUCUCUGAUGAUCCUGAAGGCUAAUCCCGUUUCUCUGAAUCCACUGCUAUUUCAGCAGGAAACAUGGGCAGGUCAUACCAGUUUGGAUGAUUUGCAGUAUCCAGCAGAGGGCGUAGCUCCUGCUGGAUACUGGGCUCCUGUAACCCAGGGCUCCUGGGUUACAGCUCGCCAUCUUGUUUCUCACUAGCGGAAUCCAACUCAGCAAUUGACUCGGAAUUUCAAACAGGUUUGGCAUUUUGCCUAACUCAGCUGGUAAAAUUUCUAAUUAAUGUUCAAUAAUUUUGUCAAAUAAGCAUAUUAAAUGAUACCGCUGGCAGAAAAACCUGUAUUUCUAAACAAUGUUUUUUUUUUUUUUCCACUUAUAAAUUUACUUGGAAUAAAGACUGGAAUUUAAUCUGAUUUUCAGCAUUAUUUCUCAAUCAACAAUUUUAGCAGACAGGGAAUACAAAAGAAGAGAAGUUGUCUGAGUCUCAAAUUGACCAAUAUGAGAGUGAAAUUUUAUUUCUCCUGCUUUUAGCCCCUUUUUUAUUUUGAGUGUUGUAUUGAGCUUAAAUUGAAUUCAUAAAAACUCUGGGAAAAAGUUUAUCUGAAAAUGUAGCUUGAAAACAUCCAUAACAGGAAGUAACUUCAUUAGAGCAGUUUUUGUGCACCGCCAAUAUAGGAGGACUAAAAUUGGUAAAAUGAACCUUUACUUUCAAGAGUAUCUAACGAGAAAAAGAAAAAAAAAAUUUAGUGCUGCAUUAAUUAAAGAACCAUAAAUAAAUAAGUUGUGGAAAAGAAAAUACAGAGAAACCAGAACACCAGGUUUCAGUUUAAAAUCUUUUAUUGUCUUUUGAAGUAAUUGCAUUAGCCUACAGAAAGAUUGGUACAGUUUAAAGAGUACCUGUCUUGAGGACAAACAAGUCUGUGGGAAGCUGUACACGAGCGAGAAAGAAGGAAAUGUUGCAUCUGAGUUCAAACAGACCAACAGGAGGACAAGCAGAGAGGAACAGCUUCUGCAUCAUGGCUGGCACAACACAGCCAGCAGGCCUUUGAAGGCUGGAACAACAGCUCUCCCUCUGCAUUCAAUUGCACUUUGGUGUAGAGUAGCUUCAUGUGACUGCUUCACCCAUUACCAUUCAUCAGUUUCUCAAGCUAAUGAGUAGGUGUUAUUAUUACUAUUGUGUUAUUAGUCUUCAAUCUUGCUGAUGAUGACCCACAUUUGAACAGUGUUGCCUUAGAACCAAAGCAGAAAGAUAAGAGUUGAAAGUGAAUCUGAAAAUGUUGCUCCUGACCGCUGGUAAAAACAGAACACCACCAGUGAUGUGAAAAAGCAUCAAUGUUCAGGACAUCGGAAUAAUUUUUUAUAUCAGACAAUCUGAGUAAAUUGUUAAAGCAGCUUCAAAUGAGGAACAGUUUGUGCCACCUUUGGUAGCAACACACUCGUUUUCAUUCAGACACAUUAGAGGGUUUUCCAGCAUGAACAGAUUGUUAAGCACAACCAGAGUCAGGUCCUUACUUUGACUGGGCCUUAUUUUAUUUUAGCUAUUCAGAAGAGGACUUGAUGAUGUGCUUUGGAUCACUGUCCAGCUGCAUAACUUAAGAAUGUCUGUUUCACUACAGAACACAAUUCAUAGUUCAGUCAGAUUAUGGUAAGUGAAUCCCAAGGUCAGGGAUUCUCAUAAAG